This is a non-coding RNA of Pelobates cultripes (western spadefoot toad), 750 nucleotides long. The record is from the annotation of a GenBank genome assembly. Lineage: Eukaryota; Metazoa; Chordata; Amphibia; Anura; Pelobatidae.
GGUGGGGGGCGGGGGGGAGGACAAUAGGUCCCCCCUAUUGUAAUUUUUGGCCCCCACCCGCCGCUCACGGGUGGGGGGGCCAGGACAAUAGGUCUCCCCUGCUAUUUAAUAGAUGCCCCACCAUGGGGCCAUUUGUUGGAAGGGGAGGGUUAUUUUUACAACAGUGAGCAGCCUGUUUAGUAGACAUGCCUCUACUCGUGGCAGAGUGAGUAGGGGCAUUUGGGAGAUUUCAGUAUCCCUUAUGCUAUUAUGGGUGUCAUAUUGACCCCCCAUGGAGUGAGGGAGGACAUGGGGGACUUUGGAAGUGGCAAGGAGUACUGCCCCCUGCCGCUUCUAUUUUUACGUUACAAGGAGGGAGCUGUGCGCCGGUAACUCCCUCCUUGUAAUAAACCAAACAAAGAUAUUCAGUGUUUGUUCGUCUGACAUUUCUAUUCAUUCAUUCGUCUUUCUGACGAAUGAAUGAAUGGAUGAAAUUCCCGUUCAAAUGCCCAAGUGUUUAACAGGGCAUGCGCGGGAAUUUCACAGUGCUAUCUAGUGUGAGCAGAUGACAUGUCCCACAGGGACUUCAUCUACCCACACAAAGAUGGCGGCGCCCAUGACCUUGGUCUGGGCACAAAAUAGAGAUAAAAAAUAGGUAAUAUGGGGGGCUUAGGAGCAUUUGGGGGUGACUAGGGGGACAAUUAGAUGUAAAUUAUUCUGGAGGGAGGUUAAAAAAAACAACUGGAUUCGGCCAUGACAGUGCCUCUUUAA